CAAUCAUUGCCCAGCUCUCAUCAAGGGUAUCUUAGCUACACAAUGCCCACCUGGGGCCUGAUUCCACCAUGAGAUACAGGCUUCUCAUCUGUGCCUUCCUAUGUCUCCUGGAGACAGCCCUCGUGAACAGUAAAACUAUCCAGACACCACGAUAUCUGGUCAUGGGAAGAGCCAAUAAUAAGUCUUUGAAAUGUGAGCAACACCUGGGAAAUAAUGCAAUGUACUGGUAUAAACAGAGUGCUGGAGAGCCCCCAGAGCUCAUGUUUCUCUACAAACUUAAAGAGCUGAUUCGAAACGAGACUGUACCUAGUUGUUUCUUACCUGAAUGCCGAGACACCUCCCAGCUAUUUCUUCACCUGUCUGCCCUGGAGCCGGGGGACUCAGCUGUGUAUUUCUGUGCCAGCAGCAAAGACACAGCCCUGCAGAUUCAUCAGCUCUCUGUGCACAAACCUGCAAGAUCAGGAAGCUGUGGGACAAUGGAGGGCUGCAUUGAACUUAGCUUCUGUAGGACCCAAGACAGACUGUUGCAAACCAUAGCACUGCCCUCCAACUCAAGACAUGGAUCACUUCUGUAUUUCUUGGCCAUAUUUAGAGGUGUUUCUUUCAUUGCGCACGGCUCUCCUGUCAACUGA
Non-coding RNA from Phodopus roborovskii (desert hamster), 632 nucleotides. The record is from the annotation of a RefSeq genome assembly. Lineage: Eukaryota; Metazoa; Chordata; Mammalia; Rodentia; Cricetidae.